Molecule: ribosomal RNA, 407 nt
Filed under: uncultured bacterium
Lineage: Bacteria
Description: partial 16S ribosomal RNA
Rfam family: Bacterial small subunit ribosomal RNA
Source: RNAcentral
GACGAACGCUGGCGGCGUGCCUAAUACAUGCAAGUAGGACGCAGUUGCGAACGGGUGAGUAACGCGUAGGUAACUACCUAUUAGAGGGGGAUAACUAUUGGAAACGAUAGCUAAUACCGCAUACUUGUAGAUUGACCUUCGUUGUAUUAGCUAGUAGGUAGGGUAAUGGCCUACCUAGGCAACGAUACAUAGCCGGCCCUGGAGGGUGGUCGGCCAAACUGGGACUGGGACACGGGCCAGACUCCUACGGGAAGCAGCAGUAGGGAAACUUCGGCAAUGGGGGGAAACCUGGCCGAGCAACGCCGCGUGAGUGAAGAAGGUUUUCGGAUCGUAAAGCUCUGUUGUUAAGGAAGCGGUACUUAAACAGAAAGGGACGGCUAACUACGUGCCAGCAGCCGCGGUAAUUC